GGAUGUUGAUCGUCUGCUGGUUUACUCCAGCUCGGUCCAAAUAUAAGAGCUGAAGCUAAUAAAUGUAUUAGUGCAGACUCUCGACUUGGCGUGAUAAUUAUUUCGUUAAGACAGAGUCUGUCGACGUUUGUUAAGCGGGCUUAUAAAACACUACUUUUACAUUAGACCUCAAAUCAGUCAGGACUACCCGCUGAACUUAA
This 200-nucleotide unclassified non-coding RNA is filed under the name soil metagenome. RNAcentral describes it as "partial contains internal transcribed spacer 2 and large subunit ribosomal RNA". The record is from RNAcentral.